AAAACCUAUAUAUAGAUUAUCUACAUAUUAGAGUUCAAUGCAGAAAACUGCUUACAAUCUUUGUCCAUGUUAAAACUCAGAUGAAAACUUACAAUAAAACAACACGAAAAAGGAGCAGGGAGAAAGUAAGAGUUGUAUCAGUCUAAUUGAAUCAUCUGAAGUUUUUUGAGUCUUAUUAAUGGACCACAGUCUUUUGAUGUCUCAGUCUUUCUAUUAGUCUUGCCACACUUCCUAAAUGUGUAUUUGAAGUAGGUUCUGUUUAUAAAUACAAGUCUUUAGUUAAUCUAUAUUUAAUUGAACAUUUAACUUAAACUUUAAACUUGAUAU
Non-coding RNA from Biomphalaria pfeifferi, 327 nucleotides. Lineage: Eukaryota; Metazoa; Mollusca; Gastropoda; Planorbidae. The record is from the annotation of a GenBank genome assembly.